Molecule: long non-coding RNA, 590 nt
Filed under: Setaria viridis
Lineage: Eukaryota; Viridiplantae; Streptophyta; Magnoliopsida; Poales; Poaceae
Description: long non-coding RNA (SVIR_LNC007818)
Source: RNAcentral
UCAACCCUUGCUGGACAACAUCUAUCACCACACACUGCUACACGCAGAAAUUCCUUUUGCCAUAAAAUUUCUCUACUUGAUUCCACAUCCCUAACAUUGCCUUGAUUUUGUGCAUCCUAGCACUGCUGACAUCCUCACAGAAUCAAAUCAAUCCAACCUUGGCUCUGAUACUACUUGUUAGAAUUAGAUACCCCUCAUUUUGCGCAAUAGCCCCCGAAUCUCGGAAUGAUAAUGUGAGUACGAUAUGAGCUUGUACUAUAUCAAGAAAAUUAUAGAUGAUUCUUGUAAAAAACCCUAGAUGACGGUGUUGAAGCAACCACAACAAAGAAUAGGAUUUUGACUAAGCUGACAGCAAAUUUUUUUAAGCAUAACUCCAAAAGAGUACAAGUGAUUGUUGCUUCCUCAUAACACUACUUGACCCUCUAGGACCCUCUGAUUCUUACCCUAUACAAGAAUGUACUGCUAUAGAACUAUCUAGCCUAUCCCUCUUGAGCACUUCUAAUUGCCCUUACAAGCCUCGGAUGAGACCUUGUGUUUUCUAUUGGUUUGAUUUAUUCCUAGAGCCUCCAACCCCCUUAUUUAUAUAGUCC